Molecule: long non-coding RNA, 1644 nt
Filed under: Amborella trichopoda
Lineage: Eukaryota; Viridiplantae; Streptophyta; Magnoliopsida; Amborellales; Amborellaceae
Description: long non-coding RNA (ATRI_LNC004566)
Source: RNAcentral
AAAAAAAAAAAAGUCUACAUCCGGCCGAUUUGACCGAUUCUUCGAUCUGAAUCACUGAUCUAGACUCGACAGUUUUCCGACUGCACUUUCCAAAUUAAAACAUUAGUAUAAGCCAAGGUUGAAAAUUCAGCGCCCAAUUUGGAUCGGAAAUCGUUGAUGAUGAUCCUAUCUAGAACUGGUCAGGUUUCCCCUUGAACGGGACGGGUGAGAGAGACGAGUCCUGUUUAUCAGGACCAACAACACCUUAGCCUUCUAAUGAUAAAAACAAACUCAUAUUGAAGAUAUUUGCAACAAAAUGAAAAGAUAAUGCAGCAAAAUGAAGAGAUAAUGUCCCACUUAUUAAUCACGAGAGCGUGAGAUUCUCUUGAAGCCAUUUUGAAUUCUUGAGGCUGAUAAUGACUAUCCCACCACCAUAAUAAUCCCAAAGACCAAUAAAAAUAUAAGAGAGAAAAAAGUUUCAUCACCAAAGCUACAAAUCACACUUCAAAAACACUCCCAAAAUAGGAUCAGGGAAUACUUGAUCUUCCUGUUUCUCUCUUUAAACUCGCAAUUUUCUCUAAUCAUAUAAACUAGCUUUAAAAAAGAAAAGCCCAGUAAUAGUUCCAAAACCCAAAAAAACCUCUAAAUUCUAAAAAGAUCCCAUCUAAGCACUCACGCAAAAAAGAAAAAAAAAAAAAAGGAAAAGAAAAGGAGUCUAAUUUGCUGCAAAACGAGUGCUUUCUUAACAUAAUAAAAUCCAAGACCAGGAAACAAAAUCAAAGAGUCCUCAAAUUGCUAUCAUUGUCAAAUAUGACUUGUGAGUCUUAAUCAAUAACACACAAUUGACACGGUCACAACUGUUUUUUUUUUAAAAAAUUAAUGUAAACAAGAAACCAAAGAUGCAAAAUUGAUGGAGGUAGCGAGAGAGAAAAGAAAACAAAGUUGCACCAAAUUAUGAAAACAAAAAAAAAACGAGACUCUACCUAGAAGCAAAUAAAUAAAACUAUAUUUUUUCUUUUGUUUUUCCUUCAAACACAUAGGCCCUCAAAGGAGAUCUUUAGCUUUUUUUCUUCCGUGCACAUAUCUAGAUCUAGCUCAAAAUGCCCCACGGUGGGCACCAAACUAUUUACAGUGCAAAUCGGGGAGAUUUUCGACUAAAUAUCCCUCAUAUCUGAACACCAAUAACUCAAUUUUUAAAAGUGAUAGAAAGUGGGGACAAUCAAAUUCUGAUUCGAGGCCAGAUCUACUCAGAAGCGAGCAUAUCUGCUUUCAGAUCAAUGGCAAAGCUAACAUUGAUCCAAAAACACAAAAGAUUGAAUGAAAAACGAAUAAAAUCCUAAAUCUAACAAAAAUAACUAAAAGUGAGAGGAAAAAAAGAUGAGAAAAAUACCUGGUCCGGCAGACCCCGAGGCUUUGAGGCCUCAUCCGUAUUAGAACUGCGGUUGUAAUUUCCGUUGUGGAUCCUCCAUAUCUCUCUUCAAUAUUAACCAAGUCUUAUCCUGGUUGAAUGAUUUUCUUGGAUCUAAUCUGAACUUAAGGUUGCAGGUUUAAUUGCUAGAGUUUGCUACGUUUUUUUUUUUUAGAUCUAGGGUUUUUCACAAGUUUCUCUUCUAGCUUCUGCUCCAUCUCUAGAUCUAGGGUUUUGCAUAAGUUUUUCUUCCCAAC